AAAAAUAUUGUUACCUGUAAAAUAAUAUGACCAUUAACCACACAACCAGCAACUAGGAAACACUCCAAAAACCACCAGUAUCAGACUGAUGGACACAGUGACAGACCCAAAACAUGGCCACUCCUCAUCGUCUAUAACUCUGCAGCUGGGUGAAGUUCUUUUUUCAGAGAACGAGUAUAGAGUGUAACUUCCUUUUCAACUGACAUACCGGAAGUCUUUUCUAGAACCGCAGCCCUCAUCAAAUGUUGUCUCUCUCUCUUCUCUGUGUGUUUUGGUGAGUCUAGCUAUCUACCAGUCAGAGAUAGAUGAGGAGGACGUACAGCCAAAGGAAACAGACACAACUCCUAACAGAGAUGUCUGGUGGUCCCCUCUCGUGCUUCUCCAAACAGGGAAUACUCCUACUCUCUAUCCUCCACUAUGGGAUCUGGGCUGAAGUCCCUCCGAAGGACCUGUAUGGAUUGAGGGGGGGUUCGGUGUGCCUGGCUGUAGCAGAACCACCGCAGGAGCUUAGAAGACAACGUUGGAAGGUCAAUAGUACCAUAAUAGUUUCUGACAGAAAGGUCUCUCCUAAAUACCAGGAGAAAGUGGAGUAUAAUCCACUGAACCACUCUCUGUGCAUUAAGAAUCUGAGUGAAAAAGACAGAGGAACUUACAUUGCAACCUAUGAGAAAAAUUGGGAAGAGUUGACUACUACAUACAGACUAACAGUACAGGAGCCUAUAUCCACGGUGGUGAUCCAGGAGGAGAUCACGCUAUUGGCCAACCAGUCCUGUUCAGUGUGGCUGCUGUGCAACGUGUCAGUCGGCUCCAACCUCUCCUACACCUGGGAGAGAGGGAAUGAAACAUACAGGGACGACAAGCAGAUGCACUUCUCUCUGUCACCAGCAGACGGAGACAUCAGUGUAACCUGCACUGCCUCCAACUCAGUCAGUGAGAAAUCUGCCUCGGUAACAGUAAAGUGUAGUAAUGACACAACCAUCCCAGGGCUGGUGUGGUGUAUCAUCUGCAUUUUAGUGGUGUUGACCCUCAUUGUAGCGGUGGCAGUGUAUUGCUGCAGGGGCCACUCUAACACGGUAUAUCAAAAUGACAAGACAAUAUAUGCGGAUGUUAGGGCAGUACAAUAAAUAAAGAUACAAGAGGGACAGUGGAUGAUCUGGCUGAACCAAGACUGAACAAGCCGCAGACUCUGUACGACGAGAUCAAAGUUGGACGCCCAAAAGCGCCCUCUUCUGCCUACCAGGAAGUACUUGUGAGCUGAGCAGGAUGUGUUCAUAGGAUGGGCCUUAUAUCUCUGCAUCAUCUGCAUCCAAGGCUACAGUCUGUAGAUGGAUGUUACUGUUAACUUUUAUCACGACUUGCACAUUUCUGACAUUUGCUGCUUAUUUUUUUCAUGAUUGCAAUCUUCUCCCUUUAUUGUUCCUCAUAGACAGUGGGGCAAAAAAGUAUUUAGUCAGUCACAAAUUGUGCAAGUUCUCCCACUUAAAAAGAUGAGAGAGGCCUGUAAUUUUCAUCAUAGGUACACUUCAACUAUGACAGACAAAAUGAGAAAAAAAAUCCAGAAAAUCACAUUGUAGGAUUUUUUAUGAAUUUAUUUGCAUUAAACAAAACUAUAAACACACAUACAUUACAACAAAAACAUUGUACAUUAAAAACACAAAUGUCUUAACUAAAAACAACUGGCCUAAAAACAAUUACACUCUUCUAUGAUAUAUACAUCGAUCAAGUGUUUAAACUCCACCAACAAAACUUGAUCAUCACAUUUUAAAAUGUUCAUGACAGAAUUCCAGGACCACAGAGCUAAGUAACUAAAACUAUUUACAGCGUGUCCUGUUGUAAUUUUUGGUACUAUUAGAAGCAAAUCAGAAUGGGACCGUAAUUGAUAUUUAUUUACUGACCUGACUAAAAAAAGAACAGAGAUAAAAUUGAAUAAUUAUAGAGACACAUUUUAUUCAUAAUAAAUGUAUACAUAACAUUGCAUUUCUGAUUUACUGAACAAUAAUUGUUGUCUGAUAAAAAUAAAUGCUGUUUAAAACUUUAAAUAAU
Oncorhynchus gorbuscha (pink salmon) is the source of this 2043-nucleotide RNA transcript. It is a transcript of the gene named T-lymphocyte surface antigen Ly-9-like, with no coding region annotated. Lineage: Eukaryota; Metazoa; Chordata; Actinopteri; Salmoniformes; Salmonidae. The record is from RefSeq and is a predicted model, not a curated record. The transcript has 7 exons.